This 232-nucleotide long non-coding RNA is filed under the name Elaeis guineensis (African oil palm). Its description in RNAcentral is "long non-coding RNA (EGUI_LNC008450)". The record is from RNAcentral. Lineage: Eukaryota; Viridiplantae; Streptophyta; Magnoliopsida; Arecales; Arecaceae.
CGAGUUGAUAUCUUUUGUCAUUCAUAAAUUAUUAUAGCUGCAUCAGUUUAUUCUCUAAAAUGCAAGUCAGAAAUAUUUGAAGCUUUUAGAAAGUUUAAAGUAUGGGUUGAGAAGCUAAGUGGCUACUCUUUAAAGGCCCUUCACAUAAUCGAGGUGAUGAGUUGUUAUCUAAUGAAUUUAACUAUUUAUAUAAUGAAAAUGGCACUUGUAGGAAACUCACAGCACCAUACAU